Non-coding RNA from Ciona savignyi (Pacific transparent sea squirt), 72 nucleotides. NCBI's taxonomy places the organism in Eukaryota, Metazoa, Chordata, Ascidiacea, Phlebobranchia, Cionidae. The record is from Rfam.
GCCUUUAUAGCUCAGUGGUAGAGCACUGGUCUCGUAAACCAGGGGUCGUGAGUUCAAACCUUACUGGAGGCA